UCGAGAAUCUUCGGCAAUGGGCGAAAGCCUGACCGAGCGACGCCGCGUGCGGGAUGAAGGUCUUCGGAUUGUAAACCGCUGUCAGAGGGGAUGAAGUUAUGGUGGGUUCUCCCUCCAUAUUGACAGAGCCUCAGAGGAAGCACGGGCUAAGUAUGUGCCAGCAGCCGCGGUAAUACAUACUGUGCGAACGUUAUUCGGAUUCACUGGGCUUAAAGGGUGCGUAGGCGGCUUGUUAAGUAGGGUGUGAAAGCCCCCGGCUCAACCGGGGAACUGCAUUCUAAACUGGCUAGCUAGAGUGAGAUAGGGGUGUGUGGAACUGCCAGUGGAGCGGUGAAAUGCGUAGAUAUAGGAAGGAACACCAGUGGCGAAGGCGACCACCUGGACUGAUACUGACACUGAGGUGCGAAAGCGUGGGGAGCAAACAGGAUUAGAUACCCCGGUAGUCCCUGAGCGGGCUGGCAAGGCGCAU
Molecule: ribosomal RNA, 469 nt
Filed under: uncultured bacterium
Lineage: Bacteria
Description: bacterial SSU rRNA
Rfam family: Bacterial small subunit ribosomal RNA
Source: RNAcentral